This 460-nucleotide ribosomal RNA is filed under the name uncultured bacterium. RNAcentral's name for it is "partial 16S ribosomal RNA". It matches the Rfam family "Bacterial small subunit ribosomal RNA", at positions 338 to 795 of the family's 1533-position model. The record is from RNAcentral.
CCUACGGGAGGCAGCAGUGAGGAAUAUUGGUCAAUGGACGAGAGUCUGAACCAGCCAAGUAGCGUGAAGGAUGACUGCCCUAUGGGUUGUAAACUUCUUUUAUAUGGGAAUAAAAUGUUCCACGUGUGGGAUUUUGUAUGUACCAUAUGAAUAAGGAUCCGCGAACUCUGUGCCAGCAGCCGCGGUAAUACGGAGGAUCCGAGCGUUAUCCGGAUUUAUUGGGUUUAAAGGGAGCGUAGGUGGGUUGUUAAGUCAGUUGUGAAAGGUUGCGGCUCAACCGUAGAAUUGCAGUUGAAACUGGCGGUCUUGAGUACAGUAGAGGUGGGCGGAAUUCGUGGUGUAGCGGUGAAAUGCUUAGAUAUCACGAAGAACUCCGAUUGCGAAGGCAGCUCACUGGAGUGCAACUGACGCUGAGGCUCGAAAGUGUGGGUAUCAAACAGGAUUAGAUACCCUAGUAGUC